Molecule: ribosomal RNA, 415 nt
Filed under: uncultured bacterium
Lineage: Bacteria
Description: bacterial SSU rRNA
Rfam family: Bacterial small subunit ribosomal RNA
Source: RNAcentral
UGGGGAAUAUUGCACAAUGGGGGAAACCCUGAUGCAGCGACGCCGCGUGAGCGAAGAAGUAUCUCGGUAUGUAAAGCUCUAUCAGCAGGGAAGAAAAUGACGGUACCUGACUAAGAAGCCCCGGCUAACUACGUGCCAGCAGCCGCGGUAAUACGUAGGGGGCAAGCGUUAUCCGGAUUUACUGGGUGUAAAGGGAGCGUAGACGGAGCAGCAAGUCUGAUGUGAAAGGCGGGGGCUCAACCCCUGGACUGCAUUGGAAACUGUUGAUCUUGAGUACCGGAGAGGUAAGCGGAAUUCCUAGUGUAGCGGUGAAAUGCGUAGAUAUUAGGAGGAACACCGGUGGCGAAGGCGGCCAACUGGGCUUUAACUGACGCUGAGGCUCGAAAGUGUGGGGAGCAAACAGGAUUAGAUACCC